RNAcentral lists this ribosomal RNA (301 nucleotides) under uncultured bacterium. RNAcentral describes it as "partial 16S ribosomal RNA". It matches the Rfam family "Bacterial small subunit ribosomal RNA", at positions 509 to 807 of the family's 1533-position model. The record is from RNAcentral.
CAGCAGCCGCGGGAAUACGAAGGGGGCUAGCGUUGUUCGGAUUUACUGGGCGUAAAGGGUGCGUAGGCGGAUUGUUAAGUCAGGGGUGAAAUCCCGAGGCUCAACCUCAGAACUGCCUUUGAUACUGGCGAUCUUGAGUCCGGGAGAGGUGAGUGGAACUGCGAGUGUAGAGGUGAAAUUCGUAGAUAUUCGCAAGAACACCGGUGGCGAAGGCGGCUCACUGGCCCGGAACUGACGCUGAGGCACGAAAGCGUGGGGAGCAAACAGGAUUAGAUACCCCAGUAGUCCCUGUCUCUUAUAC